GGGUUUAAGGUGGACGUCUGGGUUUUAAGGUGGAUGUCUGGGUGUUAAGGUGGACUUGUGGGUUUAAGGUGGACGUCUGGGUUUUAAGGUGGACGUCUGGGUUUAAGGUGGAUGUGCGGGUUUGUGUUCAGGUUUUUUUGUAAUGCUGCAGAUUGAAGAGCUGAAUCUGUCUCUGAUGAUGUUUCUCAUGUAACCGGCUCUUUCCAUGGAUUUGUGGAUGUUUGUCA
Stegastes partitus (bicolor damselfish) is the source of this 227-nucleotide long non-coding RNA. RefSeq lists it as uncharacterized. The record is from RefSeq and is a predicted model, not a curated record. The transcript has 2 exons. Lineage: Eukaryota; Metazoa; Chordata; Actinopteri; Pomacentridae.